Molecule: ribosomal RNA, 425 nt
Filed under: uncultured bacterium
Lineage: Bacteria
Description: bacterial SSU rRNA
Rfam family: Bacterial small subunit ribosomal RNA
Source: RNAcentral
GUAAGGAAUAUUGGUCAAUGGACGCAAGUCUGAACCAGCCAUGCCGCGUGGAGGAUGAAGGUCCUCUGGAUUGUAAACUUCUUUUAUCUGGGAAGAAACCCACAUUAUCCAGUGUGGUUGACGGUACCAGAUGAAUAAGCACCGGCUAACUCCGUGCCAGCAGCCGCGGUAAUACGGAGGGUGCAAGCGUUAUCCGGAUUCACUGGGUUUAAAGGGUGCGUAGGCGGGUUGGUAAGUCCGUGGUGAAAUCCCCAAGCUUAACUUGGGAACUGCCGUGGAUACUAUCAAUCUUGAAUAUCGUGGAGGUAAGCGGAAUAUGUCAUGUAGCGGUGAAAUGCUUAGAUAUGACAUAGAACACCAAUUGCGUAGGCAGCUUACUACACGAUCAUUGACGCUGAGGCACGAAAGCGUGGGGAGCAAACAGG